This 1401-nucleotide long non-coding RNA is filed under the name Ananas comosus (pineapple). RNAcentral describes it as "long non-coding RNA (ACOM_LNC017264)". The record is from RNAcentral. Lineage: Eukaryota; Viridiplantae; Streptophyta; Magnoliopsida; Poales; Bromeliaceae.
GAGCGCGCUUGCUGCCGGAGCUUUACGAGGAGGCCGGGCGAGGGAGCGUCUUCACUGUUCUUGACGUCGCGCCGAGGUUCGACGCUGUCGAGGUGGGUGAUUCGGCGUCUUUCCUGGAUUUUGGGCAAGUAUUAUUAUUUCUACUCGGUUAGUAGCUGUUUUGCUGAAAUCCGCCGUCGACUGUUCGUAUUUCAGCUCGUUCUCCGCGUAGGAACGUCGGAUCGCGACGAGGCUUGGUUCGUUGGAUUCGGGACUUCGAGAGGAAUCCACGAAGCCCUCACUUGCCAGAUUUGGUGAAGGUUAGCUCGGUCGAAUCCCGUUCCUACUCAGCUGCUGUGAAUUUCUGGACUGAAUCGAGGAUCCUUAAUUGUUUAGCUUGGCGUUAGCUCGUCCACCGGACUUGGAGGUCCCCAGUUGAUCCAGCAGAGGUUGUCCUGGUUCGAGGCUUCGUUCGCUGCCUGGAUUUAGCUUUUGAGGUGGGUUACAUCGGCUUUACUCCUAAGUUCUUAUUGGUCGACAUGUAUAGAUCUUGAUUUCGGUAAUUAAUUUUAGCUCAAAUUCAUGGACUAUAUGUAGAUUGUGAAAUCUGAAUUUUGGAGCAUGUUGUUUUAAAUUAAGUAGAUUAUACAUGUUGGACUUGGAAAUUGAAUUAGGAGAAAACCUGCGAUUUGGACCUGUCACCUGUAUAAACUGCCUGAUUUAGCUCUAGGAGCCGUUAGAAAAUUGUACUGUCGCAGUAUUGUCGAGACGAGUACUCCAGGUAGUUUAGAAUAUAUUUACACUCGUGCUGGUUCGCCGAGUGGAUUUUUACCGGGUCGUUCAGGUUAUUUCGGACUGUUGGGUGCCGUCAGAGUUGACGGUGGACCCGUAUCGCCUUUUUGGCGUCAGAUUGUGCCGAGGGCACGUUACCUGUUGGUUGUUAGACCAGUUUAGAGUCGGUUUCUUGACUUUGGCUUUCCAGAGCCUGUUUGAGCUCGACAGAGAUACGCUGCAUACUCGGUUGGGUAGCGCCCACGAGUGCCACUCCGGAGUCAGGCUUGUGCUUUUGCGUUGGUGUCGCUCAUGCCAGUUGGACUUGCUCUCCACGGACCAGUUAGAGUGGAUAGAGCCCGAUAGUCGCAACGGGGCAGGGACGGGUGUAUUCACAGUCCCGGGGACGGGUAUGCUUACAGUCCCGAUUUGGAUUGGGUCAGAUUUGACAUUUCCUACAGUUGGUUAGUGUAGAGCAUGAUAGUGUAGUGGAUGAUAGCGGUAGAGUGUACUUCCUGCUUUUCCUUCUAUCCUUGCUCCCUUCUGUAGACUUAGUGGGUGACCGAUGUCGUUUUGGGCGGUACCCACUGAGGACUACUUGUUCUUACAGUAGUUCUCACGCCCAGUUGUUACUUAUGUUUUGCAGAGCCA